This 169-nucleotide ribosomal RNA is filed under the name uncultured bacterium. Its description in RNAcentral is "partial 16S ribosomal RNA". It matches the Rfam family "Bacterial small subunit ribosomal RNA", at positions 338 to 524 of the family's 1533-position model. The record is from RNAcentral.
CCUACGGGAGGCAGCAGUGGGGAAUAUUGCACAAUGGGGGAAACCCUGAUGCAGCGACGCCGCGUGAGUGAAGAAGUAUUUCGGUAUGUAAAGCUCUAUCAGCAGGAAAGAAAAUGACGGUACCUGACUAAGAAGCCCCGGCUAACUACGUGCCAGCAGCCGCGGUAAU